GACGUAGGGGGCCAGCGUUGUUCGGAAUUACUGGGUGUAAAGGGUUCGUAGGCGGUGUAGCAAGUCGGGAGUGAAAUCUCUGGGCUUAACCCAGAGGCUGCUUCCGAAACUGCUGUGCUUGAGUGUGGGAGAGGCGCGUGGAAUUGCAGGUGUAGCGGUGAAAUGCGUAGAGAUCGGGAGGAAGGCCGGUGGCGAAGGCGGCGCUCUGGAACAUUUCUGACGCUGAGGCUCGAAAGCGUGGGGAGCAAACAGG
This 253-nucleotide ribosomal RNA is filed under the name uncultured bacterium. RNAcentral describes it as "partial 16S ribosomal RNA". It matches the Rfam family "Bacterial small subunit ribosomal RNA", at positions 524 to 776 of the family's 1533-position model. The record is from RNAcentral.